CCCUUAGAUGUUCUGGGCCGCACGCGCGCUACAAUGAUGAAUUCAACGAGUUUAUAACCUUGGUUGAAAAGCCUGGGUAAUCUUUUGAACUUUCGUCGUGAUGGGGCUAGACCCUUGCAAUUAUUGGUCUCCAACGAGGAAUUCCUAGUAAACGCAAGUCAUCAGCUUGCAUUGAUUACGUCCCUGCCCUUUGUACACACCGCCCGUCGCACCUACCGAUUGAAUGGUCCGGUGAAAUCUUCGGAUUGAGACUUUGAUUUCUUCACGGAAAACGCUGUUUUAAAAAGUUGAUUAAACCUUACCAUUGAGAGGAAGGUGAAGUCGGAACA
This 329-nucleotide ribosomal RNA is filed under the name uncultured eukaryote. Its description in RNAcentral is "partial 18S ribosomal RNA". It matches the Rfam family "Eukaryotic small subunit ribosomal RNA", at positions 1470 to 1796 of the family's 1831-position model. The record is from RNAcentral.